AAAAAUAAAAACAGAUUUUUCCAAAAUUGGAAAAUCGGCUGCGAUUUUAGUUCCCCGCCGGAAAUCGCCUCCAAAACUUCGAUCGACGAUUUCUUCCUCCUCCGGCCACCGAUCCUCACCAAACUUCUUCCAUUGGCUUCGUAUGGUCCUUGCGCACCUGUCUGUGGCAGCCUUUCACAGCGGCGCGGCCUGUAGCGGCGGCGGCAAGCCCGGUCCGAUUUAAGCUCGAUUUUGGUCAACGCCGGUUUUCUCCUAGCUCCGGCCACCAAAACUUCCGAUCCUUGGCUCCAUGAACUCCCCUCAACCUGCUGAUCAUCAUACUAGGAGGAUUGCACCUAGAGUGACCGGUUUCACGUUCGUCGGAGCUCGUGGGUUCCCCUUGAUGUUAUUAACAACUCUUUAGAAGGCAUCGAGGCCUGAAAUUGAAGAUUUGACGUCGAAAUCGAGCAUUGCCGGAUUCUGCAAAAUUUUGGAAUUUUUCCGACCACAGAAGCUUUCGAUCGGUAUAUCUCGAGCUACAGACCAUAUUUUUUUGUGAUUCUUGAACCAGUGAGUUCUUCUUGAGUUUCUUAACAACUCUUCAGAAGGAAUCGAAGCCUUAAAUUGACGUUUUUACGUCGAAUUGGAGCUCGCCGUUUUCUGCAGUUUCUCGCCGGUUUCUGGAAAUUUCCGGCCACCUUCAUACUGUUCAAGGUGAUUGACGGUUUGAGUUAGUGGACGAUUGUGGAUCGUAUUUUGAGCGGAAUUGAAGACGCAGCGGGAUUAUCGAGGUGAGUAAACCUCACGUGGUUCAUAUUACGAACCGAGUACUUUUAAUUAAUUUAUUUUUUGUCGUCAUUGUGUGAACUAUAGUUGGUAUUAAUGGGCAUUCCUGUGUGAAUGUCUAUCUAUAUAUAUAUUAUUUAUGUGAAAUAAUAUGUAUUGUUGAAAUUGUGAGAUAUUAUGUACUGUUAUGGUUGUGUUGAGUUUAUUGUUGAAAAGCAACAAU
This is a long non-coding RNA of Rosa rugosa (rugosa rose), 988 nucleotides long. RefSeq lists it as uncharacterized. The transcript is spliced from 3 exons. Lineage: Eukaryota; Viridiplantae; Streptophyta; Magnoliopsida; Rosales; Rosaceae. The record is from RefSeq and is a predicted model, not a curated record.